AUUGAAUUUCUGAAAACCAAUUUAAAUAAACCAAAAUUUUAAACACGGGAUCUCUUGGGUUCUGGGCACAAUGAAAACCCAACCAAUUGCAAUAAAAUGGGAAUUGCAAAAUUCCUGGAAUCA
This 123-nucleotide ribosomal RNA is filed under the name Venturia inaequalis. RNAcentral's name for it is "partial 5.8S ribosomal RNA". Lineage: Eukaryota; Fungi; Ascomycota; Dothideomycetes; Venturiales; Venturiaceae. The record is from RNAcentral.